This 77-nucleotide transfer RNA is filed under the name Mycoplasma sp. Its description in RNAcentral is "tRNA-Met". It matches the Rfam family "tRNA". From Rfam's summary of the family: Transfer RNA (tRNA) molecules are approximately 80 nucleotides in length. The record is from RNAcentral. Lineage: Bacteria; Bacillati; Mycoplasmatota; Mollicutes; Mycoplasmatales; Mycoplasmataceae.
CGCGGAGUAGAGCAGCUUGGUAGCUCAUCAGUCUCAUAAUCUGAGGGUCGUUGGUUCAAAUCCAACCUCCGCAACCA